RNAcentral lists this ribosomal RNA (432 nucleotides) under uncultured bacterium. RNAcentral describes it as "bacterial SSU rRNA". It matches the Rfam family "Bacterial small subunit ribosomal RNA", at positions 29 to 506 of the family's 1533-position model. The record is from RNAcentral.
AACGAACGCUGGCGGCAGGCUUAACACAUGCAAGUCGAACGCAUCCUUCGGGGUGAGUGGCAGACGGGUGAGUAACACGUGGGAACGUACCUUUCGGUUCGGGAUAACCCAGGGAAACUUGGGCUAAUACCGGAUACGUCCUUUGGGAGAAAGAUUGAUUGCCGAAAGAUCGGCCCGCGUCUGAUUAGCUAGUUGGUGGGGUAAUGGCCUACCAAGGCGACGAUCAGUAGCUGGUCUGAGAGGAUGAUCAGCCACACUGGGACUGAGACACGGCCCAGACUCCUACGGGAGGCAGCAGUGGGGAAUAUUGGACAAUGGGCGCAAGCCUGAUCCAGCCAUGCCGCGUGAGUGAUGAAGGCCCUAGGGUUGUAAAGCUCUUUCGGCGGGGACGAUAAUGACGGUACCCGCAGAAGAAGCCCCGGCUAACUUCGU